This 209-nucleotide long non-coding RNA is filed under the name Lathyrus oleraceus (garden pea). RNAcentral describes it as "Pisum sativum (pea) long non-coding RNA (PSAT_LNC031224)". The record is from RNAcentral. Lineage: Eukaryota; Viridiplantae; Streptophyta; Magnoliopsida; Fabales; Fabaceae.
UAAAAUAUCUCAUUGUCAGGUAGCCCGAGAGAAAGCCUUGUGCGUGCAAUUGUGUCCAAAACUAGAAAGCAAGUAAAGGAUUACAAUUUGUCUUAAAUCUUGAAUGCUCCUUUCCAUGUUUGGGUUGAAUGAUUGUCCAAGGCUUUUUGCAAAGGAUCCUAAUGAGUCUCUAAGUCCAUUAUCCAAAGUCUAUUACAUGCUAAGGGAGU